This 250-nucleotide ribosomal RNA is filed under the name uncultured bacterium. RNAcentral describes it as "partial 16S ribosomal RNA". It matches the Rfam family "Bacterial small subunit ribosomal RNA", at positions 524 to 773 of the family's 1533-position model. The record is from RNAcentral.
UACGGGGGGCGCAAGCGUUGCUCGGAAUCACUGGGCGUAAAGCGUCCGCAGGCGGCUUGGUAAGUCGGGUGUGAAAGCCCGGAGCUCAACUCCGGAACUGCAUUCGAAACUGCCUGGCUCGAGUACGGGAGAGGAUGGCGGAAUUCCUGGUGUAGAGGUGAAAUUCGUAGAUAUCAGGAGGAACACCGGUGGCGAAAGCGGCCAUCUGGCCCGAUACUGACGCUCAUGGACGAAAGCGCGGGGAGCAAAC